Oryctolagus cuniculus (rabbit) is the source of this 115-nucleotide small nuclear RNA. NCBI's taxonomy places the organism in Eukaryota, Metazoa, Chordata, Mammalia, Lagomorpha, Leporidae. The record is from Ensembl.
GUGCUCGUUUCAGCAGCACGUAUACUAAAAUUGGAACGAUACAGAGAAGAUUAGCAUGGCCUCUGUGCAAGAUGACACGCAAAUUUGUGAAGCGUUAAAAAAAAAAAAGAUUUUU